AAAGAACUCAGGAGUUUUCCGGCGCCAAUCGAGCUCCUCAGAUGGCCGUUCUUCAAGCUUCCGCCUCUCUCUCUCUCGCCACACGCGAUGCUUCCUUCGCAAGAACAGCACCAAAAGUCUUUCCACUUCAUAGAGGUCCCCUACCGAAUUCAUACCGACUUGGAACGACGUUCGCUACUGGCUCUCCACUUGUGUUAAUAAGCAAGCCAUCUGGUCAAAAGAAGCACGCACUCAAACAAAAUUCUGUUUCUAUAAGAUGUGAACAAAGUACCCAACAGAGUAAUCUGGAUGUUUGGCUUGGGCGCUUUGCGAUGGUAGGAUUUGCUAUUGCAAUUAGUGUUGAAAUAGCAACAGGCAAGGGACUUUUAGAGAAUUUUGGAGUAACGUCUCCCCUGCCUAGUGUGGCCUUGGCAGUUACUGCAUUGGUUGGCGUACUGACUGCAGUUUUCAUCUUCCAAUCAGCUACCAAAAACUGAACAAAUCUAGAUUGGUUUUUUACACGUUUUCUGUAAAGUUUGUAAUACUAAAAGAUGUAAAAGAUGUUUUCCUUGACAUUCGUUUUUAUUUGUUGUAAUAUUCUCGAGUGCAAACAACGGGCAACCAAGUU
This 607-nucleotide unclassified non-coding RNA is filed under the name Hevea brasiliensis (rubber tree). Lineage: Eukaryota; Viridiplantae; Streptophyta; Magnoliopsida; Malpighiales; Euphorbiaceae. The record is from RNAcentral.